UGAAAUGAUGACCCGACCCGACCCUUUUCGCAUGAUUCUAAAACCCGCUUUAAACCUCCCUCUCUCUCUCUCCAAUUCCUCUCCUCUCUCGCCACCUCCGACGGCCGCAGAUUAACAGAGCGUUUGAAGGAACGAAAUCAUGUUAAAACGGGGGAAAUCAUCGGUUUUAACUGUCGCUGAGAAAUGCAAGACUGUAUUGGCUUCCAAUUGGCAGGGUAAGCUCAAUACCGUCAAAGCUGAUUCCCACGAUAGGAGGAGAUUUACACUUCAAGAGUGAAAUAUUUUGUGAGGAAAGGAAGGCCGUAUAUUUGGGUGCCUGAGAAGGAGCUGCAUAAUGUGGUAACAUUUCUUCUCUGAUUGGGCGUUUACUUUGGA
Molecule: long non-coding RNA, 375 nt
Organism: Salvia miltiorrhiza (redroot sage)
Lineage: Eukaryota; Viridiplantae; Streptophyta; Magnoliopsida; Lamiales; Lamiaceae
Exons: 3
Source: RefSeq, a predicted model, not a curated record